AGGACGAACGCUGGCGGCGCGCCUAACACAUGCAAGUCGAGCGAGAACCAGGGCUUGCCCUGGGGAAAGCGGCGAACGGGUGCGUAACACGUGAGCAACCUGCCCCAAAGACCGGGACAACCCGAGGAAACUCGGACUAAUACCGGAUGCCCUCACCGGGCCGCAUGGUCUGGUGAGGAAAUGGAUUCCGCUUUGGGAUGGGCUCGCGGUCUAUCAGCUUGUUGGUGGGGUAACGGCCUACCAAGGCGACGACGGAUAGCUGGUCUGAGAGGACGAUCAGCCACACUGGGACUGAGACACGGCCCAGACUCCUACGGGAGGCAGCAGUGGGGAAUCUUGCGCAAUGGGCGAAAGCCUGACGCAGCGACGCCGCGUGGGGGAUGAAGGCCUUCGGGUUGUAACCCCUUCAGCAGGGACGAAGCGAAGUGACGGUACCUGCAGAAGAAGCGCCGGCUAACUACGCGCCAGCAGCCGCGGUA
Molecule: ribosomal RNA, 479 nt
Filed under: uncultured bacterium
Lineage: Bacteria
Description: SSU rRNA
Rfam family: Bacterial small subunit ribosomal RNA
Source: RNAcentral